UUAGAAGGGACCAGGCUGUGCAUUCAAGAAGGACAGUUAAAGAUUUCGGCCCUUAACAACAAUCUGAGACUGCCACAAAUAUAGAGGAAAUAUCUUGUAGAUCUCCUGCCUUCCACCAACACUUCAGAACUGAGCCCUUGUGAUACACACUGAAGUGCUGCUGUGCUAUAGGGAAUAUUUGCCUGUUUUUGUAGUAACAUCAUGGAAGGGAGUGCAAAAACCCACAUGGUGAAUGGCACAACUGAGUCACCAUCCUGAGCCAUCCCUUCUCUAACCAUGGGAGUCACCUCUCCAAAAAUGAGAAGCACUUUGUAUCCACAGUUAUUGGGAGCAGCACUGUAGUUGUGCCAACAACAAUAUCUGUGGGAAGAUGCCCCAAUGGGGCAGGUUCUGUCCUGCCAAGACCAUGAAACACAGAGAAGCCAACCCAGGCAAGGAAAGAUCUGGUUUCCCACAUGCCUGCAUCCCCUCACUCCCACAGACCACGCCUCUCGCAGCUCCCAUAAUUCAGACCCAGAAGAAAACAUGCCCAACCAAAAGGACUAAGCAAGGCUGAAGCAAACACAAAGCAAAUUGCAGCAAUAGGGGAAAAAGCAAAUAGAGCCAUUCCUGAUAAGCAGGGAAGCUCAGCCUCAUGUCAGAGUGAAGCAAACACUUUCAUUCAUGACAAAGGGAUAUGGAGCAACCCAGCUACUUGUUCCAGAAAGAUCUCCAAACAAGCAUCUCCAAGAACCCUAAGGACAUGGCUAACAUGGCACUAAGCUAAUGAACUCUGCUCCAGUUCUGCUGACAAAGAGGGAGAGAAGGCUGUCAGCACCCAGAGAAGCACAUAAAAACAAAAUCCUCUACUUCUGAAAGCAUUUUUCAGUUUCUCCAAGAAAAAUUUAGUGGUUACUUCCAGGAAAUGGCAAACUGAAGCUUUGCCUUGGUUCAAGAACAGAGCAGAAGAAACCUCCAGAAAUCAGAGCAACUCACCUUGCACACAGCAGCCUGCAAAAUGGCAUCGAAGCCGCCCUCGGGAGCAUCUCGGUUGCGGGAAACUUUCUGUUUCUGGACUUCUUCAUUGAAACGGUCGACUUUAUCCGUCAGGGACAGGAGGUGGCGGAAGCCAAAGGAUGGGACACAGCUGGGGAACAGCUUAUAACUGUGGGAAGAACAGAGGAGUGGUCAGCCGGGAGGAACUGCACCCGCGGCCAAGAACUGGAGAAGCUCCCAGCUCUACCAGGUUGGUCUCUAAGAUUUUGUUCAGAGGGUUGGAAUACUCUGGCAGUGCUUCAUAUUUUGGACACUUCAAUUUCUGGCUAUUUCUCUACAAAGCCCUACAGUAGAGCCCAUAUUAUUUCCCCCCUCAGGGGCUUUCAGAAGCUGAAGUUUCCAGAGAUCGCACCAGGAGUGAACAUCUCUCUCCAUGUACCAUGGUGAAACCUGUUCUUCCAAACUCAAGGAUUAAUGGAUAAUUUAAGCUGGGCCUGCUAAUGCAAGGGUUUAGGAAGUCAUCAGCUUGAAGGUGAAGUGUUGCCCAACAACAAAAAAGAGAACAAAAAUGGGAGAUACUAUCACAAACAUCUGGGUUUGUCCCUCCUCUUGCAAUGACCGUGAUGCUCUGCAAGAGUAGCACAGGGAGAGGAGUGCACUGGCUCAGAGUGGGAAUUGCUGGAGGGGUCCUCAGGGUGAUUCCUGCAGUUCAGC
Molecule: long non-coding RNA, 1689 nt
Organism: Passer domesticus (house sparrow)
Lineage: Eukaryota; Metazoa; Chordata; Aves; Passeriformes; Passeridae
Exons: 3
Source: RefSeq, a predicted model, not a curated record